AUUGAACGCUGGCGGCAAGCCUAACACAUGCAAGUCGAGCGGCAGCGUAAAAGUUNACUUUUGACGGCGAGCGGCGUACGGGUGAGUAACACGUGGGAAUCUGCCCAUCAGUACGGAAUAACUUUUAGAAAUAAAAGCUAAUACCGUAUAUUCUCUACGGAGGAAAGAUUUAUCGCUGAUGGAUGAGCCCGCGUCAGAUUAGGUAGUUGGUGGGGUAAUGGCCUACCAAGCCUACGAUCUGUAGCUGGUCUGAGAGGAUGAUCAGCCACACUGGGACUGAGACACGGCCCAGAC
RNAcentral lists this ribosomal RNA (294 nucleotides) under bacterium endosymbiont of Otiorhynchus rugosostriatus. Its description in RNAcentral is "partial 16S ribosomal RNA". It matches the Rfam family "Bacterial small subunit ribosomal RNA", at positions 30 to 336 of the family's 1533-position model. The record is from RNAcentral.